GGGGACGGAGAAGGUUAGGUCAGCCAACUGUUGGAAUAGUUGGUUUAAGCGUGUAGGCGUGCCCCUUAGGCAAAUCCGGGGGGCUUAGCUGAGGCGUGAUGACGAGGCACUACGGUGCUGAAGUGAUUGAUACCAAGCUUCCAGGAAAAGCCACUAAGCUUCAGUCUAGAAUUGACCGUACCGCAAACCGACACAGGUGGGCAGGAUGAAAAUUCUAAGGCGCUUGAGAGAACUCAGGAGAAGGAACUCGGCAAAUUAACACCGUAACUUCGGGAGAAGGUGUGCCCCGGUAGGUUGUAGAACCUUGCGCUCGAAGGCCGAUGGGGUUGCAGUGAAAUGGUGGCUGUGACUGUUUAAUAAAAACACAGCACUCUGCAAACACGAAAGUGGACGUAUAGGGUGUGACGCCUGCCCGGUGCCGGAAGGUUAAUUGAUGGGGUGCAAGCUCUUGAUCGAAGCCCCGGUAAACGGCGGCCGUAACAAUAACGGUCCUAAGGUAGCGAAAUUCCUUGUCGGGUAAGUUCCGACCUGCACGAAUGGCGUAACGAUGGCCACACUGUCUCCUCCUGAGACUCAGCGAAGUUGAAAUGUUUGUGAAGAUGCAAUCUCCCCGCGGCAAGACGGAAAGACCCCAUGAACCUUUACUGUAGCUUUGCAUUGGACUUUGAAUCGGUCUGUGUAGGAUAGGUGGGAGGCUGUGAAACCGGGACGCUAGUUUCGGUGGAGCCAACCUUGAAAUACCACCCUGAUUUAUUUGAGGUUCUAACCUUGAUCCGUGAAUCCGGAUCGGGGACCGUGCAUGGUGGGCAGUUUGACUGGGGCGGUCUCCUCCCAAAAGGUAACGGAGGAGUACGAAGGUACGCUUAGGGCGGUCGGACAUCGCCCAUAAAGUGCAAUGGCAAAAGCGUGCUUGACUGCGAGACCCACAAGUCGAGCAGGUGCGAAAGCAGGUCAUAGUGAUCCGGUGGUUCUGUAUGGGAGGGCCAUCGCUCAACGGAUAAAAGGUACUCUGGGGAUAACAGGCUGAUACCGCCCAAGAGUUCAUAUCGACGGCGGUGUUUGGCACCUCGAUGUCGGCUCAUCUCAUCCUGGGGCUGUAGCCGGUCCCAAGGGUAUGGCUGUUCGCCAUUUAAAGAGGUACGUGAGCUGGGUUUAAAACGUCGUGAGACAGUUUGGUCCCUAUCUGCCGUGGGCGCUGGAAAUUUGAAGGGGGCUGCUCCUAGUACGAGAGGACCGGAGUGGACGAACCUCUGGUGUACCGGUUAUGACGCCAGUCGUAUCGCCGGGUAGCUAUGUUCGGAAGAGAUAAACGCUGAAAGCAUCUAAGCGUGAAACUCGCCUUAAGAUAAGAUUUCCCGGAGUCUUGAACUCCCUAAAGGGUCGUCGAAGACCACGACGUUGAUAGGUCAGGUGUGGAAGC
RNAcentral lists this ribosomal RNA (1420 nucleotides) under metagenome. RNAcentral describes it as "bacterial LSU rRNA". It matches the Rfam family "Bacterial large subunit ribosomal RNA", at positions 1468 to 2874 of the family's 2925-position model. The record is from RNAcentral.